GGUUUAUGGCUCAGUGGUAGGGCGCUUGCCUAGCAUGUGUGAGGCAUUGAGUUUGAUUCUCAGCACCA
Molecule: transfer RNA, 68 nt
Filed under: Marmota monax (woodchuck)
Lineage: Eukaryota; Metazoa; Chordata; Mammalia; Rodentia; Sciuridae
Description: tRNA.Ala
Source: RNAcentral